RNAcentral lists this ribosomal RNA (640 nucleotides) under Sarcophaga africa. Its description in RNAcentral is "partial 28S ribosomal RNA". It matches the Rfam family "Eukaryotic large subunit ribosomal RNA", at positions 148 to 664 of the family's 3401-position model. Lineage: Eukaryota; Metazoa; Arthropoda; Insecta; Diptera; Sarcophagidae. The record is from RNAcentral. RNAcentral also lists the same sequence under 1 other name.
GUGUAUGGAAUGUCAAAUUUCUAGUAUGAGAAAUUAACGAUUUAAGUCCUUCUUAAAUGAGGCCAUUUACCCAUAGAGGGUGCCAGGCCCGUAUAACGUUAAUGAUUACUAGAUGGCAUUUCCAAAGAGUCGUGUUGCUUGAUAGUGCAGCACUAAGUGGGUGGUAAACUCCAUCUAAAACUAAAUAUAACCAUGAGACCGAUAGUAAACAAGUACCGUGAGGGAAAGUUGAAAAGAACUCUGAAUAGAGAGUUAAAUAGUACGUGAAACUGCUUAGAGGUUAAGCCCGAUGAACCUGAAUAUCCAUUAUAGAAAAUUCAUCAUUAUGAUUUUAAUAUUAAUAAUAUUAUAAUAAUGGUGUGCAUUUUUUCUAUAACGGACAUUGUAAUCUAUUAACAUAAAUAUAUUUAUCAUAAGAUCAAUGAUGCGUAAGUUUAUUCAAAUUAUUUUGCUUGCAAUUUAACAUAGAAUAAAUGCUCUUGAUUUGAUAAAGUGUUGAUAGAUUUAUUGUAUAUAGUGCUUAAAUAUUUAUAUUUUAUAAUAGCAUAUUAAUCAUUGAUUUUUAUGUUUAUUAUAUGCACUUAUAUGAUUAACAAUGCGAAAGAUUCAGGAUACCUUCGGGACCCGUCUUGAAACACGG